Molecule: long non-coding RNA, 454 nt
Filed under: Homo sapiens (human)
Lineage: Eukaryota; Metazoa; Chordata; Mammalia; Primates; Hominidae
Description: HSALNT0396260
Source: RNAcentral
CACACAGAGGAAAGGCCAUGUGAGGACACAGCAAGAAGGCGGCCAUCUGCAAGCCAAGAAGAGAGUCCUCACCAGGAACCAACUCUGCUGACACCUUGCUGUUGGACUUCCAGCCUCUAUAAAUGUUCACAAGCACACCACUGUUUACACCCAUCUAGAAGGCCCCUCCCAGCUGACAUCUUUCUGCCUACCUUUCAGGAAGACAGACGAAACUCUCUGCCUUCAGGUGGGGCAAGACUGCUGAUGGCUGGAACAGGAGCUUGGCACCUCCACCCUGACCCAGACACAAGCCUGUCUGUCCCACUCAAAUCGAGCUGGCCAGAGACUACAACUGUGUUGGUUCCCAAGACAUAGAAAAGCCAGAAGAGGUCGGGCGCAGUGGCUCACGCCUGUCAGCACUUUGGGAAGCCGAGGCAGGCAGAUUACCUAAGGUCAAGAGUUCAAGACCAAUCUG